Long non-coding RNA from Talpa occidentalis (Iberian mole), 1763 nucleotides. RefSeq lists it as uncharacterized. The record is from RefSeq and is a predicted model, not a curated record. The transcript has 5 exons. Lineage: Eukaryota; Metazoa; Chordata; Mammalia; Eulipotyphla; Talpidae.
CCGCCGGCCGGGGUCGCCGCCCGGGCUCGGUCAGUCGGUACCUUCAUGAAGGUCUCUACCGCGCCUUUGGCCGUGUCCAGAGCGCCAAUUAUUAAGUAUUCACAAGCACACUGCUGGACAGAGGCUGCAUGAGGUAAUGGCUUCACGUGAAAGCUAAGACAACAAAGAUGAGUAUGGCCCAACCUCAACCACAUGAAAAUGAAGAUGGCGAAAUAAGCAAGAAGGAGAAAGAUAAAUACCAGAUGGUGUUACUUAUAUAUAGACUAUAGAGAAACCAAACAAAGGGUCAAACAAACACAAACUGUAAAACCAAUCCAUGAAAACGGAGGCAUCUAAGAGGAAGAGGGAGAGGUUAUGAUAACUUCCACUCUUCUCCACAACUUCAAACUUCUGGGAUUCAGAUAAUGAAUGCUGGAAUAAUGAAGACUUUCAACAUCAUUCUGUAGCUGUGGCCAUGGAUCCCAGACAUAUAAAGCAUCAGUCAAGAGUCAGUCCUUCUUCUAGGCACUGAGGAUGCUGUCAAUGAACACGUGGGGAAAGUUUCCUACUUGCAUUGAACAGAACUAGUUCUCUUGAUUUAUGGCCCAAUGCUGUUUUCUAUUAUACUAGGCAAAGUUAGAGACUCAUUUUACUGUUUUGCAAGUACCUGUCAUUAUGAGUAGGCUUAUGUCUCUUCCACAUUGUGUAUUCAUAUAGUCAACAAAUAUUUAUUGAGUAGCUUCUAUUACCAGACUCUCUGCUAAGUGCUGGACAACCUAAUAUGAAUUAGUUCUCAAGGUGCUCACAGACAUAUGCACAUAGACUGGUAAACAAAUUUCAAAUUAGCAUAAGUACAACGAUUGGAGAACAAUGUACAGACAUACCACACAGCAGCAAUUGAUUAAUUCCCUCUGACAUGAUAUCCCAACUUGGAUUUGAAAUGUUAAUAGAGUUUCCCCAGGCAAACCAAGGAUAGUGGAAGUAGGAAUAACAUAUAGAGAUAAGAGACAAUAUGUAUAUCCAAAGAACCAUAUGAUGUUUAGUAUUGAAGGAAUCUAAAGUACAAGGUGGAUACCUCUCUAUAUAAUGGCCUAUGUUUUCCCUAUGAAUUGAGAGACAAUAUUUUUUUGAUAAUGAAGGUAGAUAGAGAAUGGGUAGGCAGCUUGAAGGGAGGUUUAAAAGAGCUACAGGAUUGUUUGUAAAAUAGAAAGGAAUGGUUAAAAAAAAACCCUAGGGUGUAUUAAUAGAGUAUUGGCUUAAUAAAUUACAGUCCACCCACACAAUGGAAUACCAUGCAGUCAUUAAAAAGGUGUGCCCUGACAUACAUAGUCAUGCACCACACGGUGAUGUUUUGGUUUACUAAGGACUGUAUACUUGAUGGUGGUCUCUAUAUAUAGGCUAGACGUGUAGUAGGCUAUAUCAUCUAGGUUUGUGUAAUUAGAUUCUAAGACAUUUGCACAAUGACCAAAUCGCCUUGUGAUGGAUUUCUUAGAAUAUAUCCUUGCUGGUAAGCAACUCAUGCUUACACUGAUGUGAAAAGAUCUACAAGUCACCUUAUUUAAUAAAAAAAACAAACAAGAUGCAGAACUGUGUGUACUAACUUAGCUUUUGUGUAAACGGCAGUAGAAUAUAAAAAGAUAUUUUUUGAUAUGCAUAAAUAUCUCUGAAAGAACAUAGUUGUUUUGGUUGCCCAUGGAGAGAGAAGUUGGAUGGUCAGAGUACAAGAGCAGGAGUUAGGGGACAGGGGUGGGCAGCACUUUACAUUAAAUAUCUUUUCAUUUUGA